RNAcentral lists this long non-coding RNA (204 nucleotides) under Mytilus galloprovincialis (Mediterranean mussel). Lineage: Eukaryota; Metazoa; Mollusca; Bivalvia; Mytilida; Mytilidae. The record is from RNAcentral.
UUUUUGCCUUUGAGCAAUUCACUAUGCUGUUGAAUAUUAAUCCUCUCAAAAAAAUGUUUGAAGAAAUUUUCUUUUUAUUUAUGAAAUCUGAAAUGAAAAAAUUGACCCCCCAAUUUUUUUUUUCACAUCCCCCUUUCCCUUAUUUCAAAACUGAUCUCAAUUCAAAUUUCUAAUGAAGUUUGCAACAAUAACUACUCAUUUAAA